Molecule: ribosomal RNA, 253 nt
Filed under: uncultured bacterium
Lineage: Bacteria
Description: partial 16S ribosomal RNA
Rfam family: Bacterial small subunit ribosomal RNA
Source: RNAcentral
UACAGAGGGUGCAAGCGUUGUUCGGAAUUAUUGGGCGUAAAGCGCGUGUAGGCGGCUUUGCAAGUCGGGUGUGAAAGCCCUCAGCUUAACUGAGGAAGUGCGCCCGAAACUGCAUGGCUUGAGUACCGGAGAGGAUGGCGGAAUUCCCCAAGUAGAGGUGAAAUUCGUAGAUAUGGGGAGGAACACCGGUGGCGAAGGCGGCCAUCUGGACGGAUACUGACGCUGAGACGCGAAAGCGUGGGUAGCAAACAGG